GAGACCCGUUUCUCUAGUUGCCAACGAAUCCUAAAGGGAUGUCGGGCACUCUAGAGGGACUGCCACCGAUAAGGUGGAGGAAGGGGCGGGCAACGGCAGGUCAGUAUGCCCCGAAUCCCCCGGGCCACACGCGAGCUGCAAUGGUAGGGACAGAGGGUCUCUACCCCGAAAGGGGAAGGUAAUCCCUAAACCCUAUCUCAGUUGGGAUCGAGGGCUGUAACUCGCCCUCGUGAACAUGGAAUGCCUAGUAACCGCGCGUUAUCAGCGCGCAGUGAAUAC
Molecule: ribosomal RNA, 279 nt
Filed under: uncultured archaeon
Lineage: Archaea
Description: partial 16S rRNA
Rfam family: Archaeal small subunit ribosomal RNA
Source: RNAcentral